RNAcentral lists this ribosomal RNA (207 nucleotides) under uncultured Clostridia bacterium. RNAcentral describes it as "partial 16S ribosomal RNA". It matches the Rfam family "Bacterial small subunit ribosomal RNA", at positions 568 to 774 of the family's 1533-position model. The record is from RNAcentral. Lineage: Bacteria; Bacillati; Bacillota; Clostridia.
UGCGUAGGCGGCAGUUUAAGUCAGAUGUGAAAUCCCCGGGCUCAACCCGGGUAUUGCAUUUGAAACUGGGCAGCUAGAGUGCAGGAGAGGGAAGCGGAAUUCCUAGUGUAGCGGUGAAAUGCGUAGAUAUUAGGAGGAACACCAGUGGCGAAGGCGGCUUUCUGGACUGCAACUGACGCUGAGGCACGAAAGCGUGGGGAGCAAACA